Molecule: long non-coding RNA, 3309 nt
Organism: Cephus cinctus (wheat stem sawfly)
Lineage: Eukaryota; Metazoa; Arthropoda; Insecta; Hymenoptera; Cephidae
Exons: 5
Source: RefSeq, a predicted model, not a curated record
ACUCUUGUGUAUUUUCUAUUACACUCAGAAAUCACAGUCAGAAAAAAUAUAAAAUAGUAUAACGAGUAUUUAAUUAUCGUUGCAGCGGUAAGACGUUCUCGGAACGGGUAGUACAAUUCCGAAAUCGGCCGAAGGCGCGAAGUCGAGGAACGUCAACAAGGAAGGUCACCUCGGAGAGCGGCUAGCGCGCGACUUCAGAAGGACGUUCGCAAUACGCAAUAUUCACAGAGAUUUCACAGGGAAUAUAAAGGCGAAAUUACAAUAAUGUUCGGCAACGAUAAUCAGAUACGGUAUACUAGCAAUAAAUCACAGAAAUAAGAACGGAAGAUAUUGUAUACAAAAGUACGAAUAUUAAAUUCGGAUUCACACUUCAACAAAAUCAAAGAAAGUUUAGCCAAAAAGAAAAGAAUUCAAUUUAACUUAUCCCAGUUCGAAAGAGGAAAAUAGGAGAAACAAUACGAUUCCACUUAUUCAGAAUAAAGACGGUGUGGGCUCGCCACUAAAUUUUACAGAACUUAGGGUUCGGAAAUCUCACAGUACUUUUGCAGAGUCAAAAGAAUAAUAAAUUGACGGUAAACGAUAUCUUAUAAUAAUCGGCAAGAGAAUAUAACUAGGCAGCGGGAGAAUCUGGCUGUCGAACGACCAAGUCGGUCAACUCAGGGUCGAACACUCUGGCAGGCAGAUUCCCACGUGUACACUAGGCGAAGAUUCCAGAAAAUUCGUUAAUCACAGAAAAAAUAGAAAUCACAAAUCAUAUAAGAAAAGCUCAAAAUCGGAAACUCAAGAAUAUAAAUUAUAACGGCACUAUCGUCCUUUAUACUAUAAUCGGCGGAAAGACAUUCGCCCGAAAACGACAAGGAAAAAUUCGUCACCGGUGAAACGAACGGUUUAGCCGUGUACGUGUCUAUAAUCUUCAAUAAACAAAAAUCAGAAAAUAUUAAGAAAAGCGAUUGAUCUCACCACAAAAUAGAAAAGUAAAGCGUAAAGCUCAAUAUAAUCAGUCCUCAAGGCAAUAUUCGCUCUCUAUAUAUAUAUAUAUCUCUCUCACUCUUUAUCUCUCUUUCUUUCGUCUCGGUUCGCAAUAUUUCCAACGUGAGCUUUCUUCCGCACUUCGCACGACAGUGAAUUAUCGAUUGAUGAUCUUCGGCAACAUCUUCGGGCACAGGUGAGGCGGGACGGCACCGGAACGAGACGAACGUUGACCAGGGUAGCCGAGCUUUCCCGAGCGUCGAUGCGCAACGGCGGAAUCGGCCGAGUGAAAACGAGCGUCGAUCCUGUGGACACGGCCCUCUAAACUCGCUGGGCCUGGCGGGUCGAGGAUACUUAGACGGCUUCUCAGCCGGACGGAGGCACUAUCGUAGGCAAUCGGCAAGCUUUAGGCGGGCCAGGGAGGAAAACCUCAUCAUCUCCCUGUCGGCCAUAUCGGCGGCGGAUAGGCCCAGAGGGCAGUCCUUCCCGGCCGACGGAAACGGCGGAAUCCCCUCCCGGGUGCUCCAUGGCUUCUUCGGCGUAACGGCAGCAGCAGGAUUCCGGCGACAUCGAGGUCGGCGGAACCGGCGGGCACAUCUUGGUUGGUGGGAGCGGCGUGCUGAUCCCUCCAACUUGUCCUUCACUCAAAAUUCUCAAAAUCAGCAUCGACAGUCAAACGUAAUCGCUACAAAACCCUCAAACUCCACAAUGAUGAUGUCCGGUCCUUGCCCUUAUGCCGUUGUAGAGAGACUCGAGAGUUGAGAUUGAUUAAAGCUUAAAAAAAGCAAAAACUCAAUCAGUAAUAUGAAACGAGACCUGAAAUGACAAAAAGGACGAUAAUAGACGUUCACAAACGGAAACCUUAAGAAUAAUGGUUUAUACGGAAUUUCGCUAAUGGGUUGUCGUGCGGAGCCUAGGUUGAGCGAGAAAAUGAAAUUUAUUAAAUUUUGUGGCGCGAUUCUGAAGAAUCACGUUACAACGUAUAAAGAGCAAGUUACGUCACGCGAUGGAAAUUGGUGCCAAGUUCUUGUGUUGCGAUUGAAAAGCGCGAGUGCCACUGUCACCUGCUCAUCCCUAGCCUCGCGAGUGCAACAUGUCAUGUGACCAUUUCAGUUGGAUAACCCGAGCGAAUAUUCAAUAAUAAGUUCUCACGAGAAGGUUACGUGAAUGAUAAUGCUGGAUGGCAUAGUUGCGCUGCAAGGGCUGCCCGCUACUUACCAUUUCGGCGACUCCCACGCAGAGACCUCGACAAGCGCCAAGCCUAGUCCAAGGACCUGUAGAGGUCCUACUCCCGGUUUUUAACAAAAAAUUCAAUUAGGGCUAGUCGAUUAAUCGAUCGAUCAGCGAAUCGGGUUAUUAGUUUUUCUGUUUAAGCAACCAUCCUGGGGCCAUCCGCCAUCGUUCAUGAUAAGUAUCGCAAAUUUUACGAGCGAUCUCUUACAUAUUAUCACUUCUGUUAACCUCAUCAUAACAAUGGUGAUUUUUUUGAUUGCAGCAAAUGUAGAAGAGCCCCCCCUGCGGCGUCCUUCUUAAUCAGCCUCUUUGCCUUAUAUGGUUGUUUCCUAAUAUUUUCAUUCAGGGUGACUCUAUGGAAAAGGGUGUCAUAAAAUUUAUAGUCCUAUCCGAUCACAAAAAAAUCGGCAACCUAUUACUUUUUAAAAUAUUACUGAUAACAUAUAUUUUACCGCAGAUAUCUAUUACAAAUAAUAUAGGUAUAACGAUGAAAUAAUUUAACUAGAUGUUGGAUCUGAAGAAGGAAGAGUUGUGGAUCCAUAUUCAUUAGGACUCUUAUUUGCCUAGUUUGAAAGUACAGGAUUAGCUUUCGAUAUUUAUGGCAGCUUUUUUAGACUCAUUCGCAACAGCGUGAAGCGUAUUUUACUGCCUGCCCAUUGCUCCCCUAUUGAGGCAGUAGGUCUGGGUCGAGGAAGCGAACAGAGCCACAUCUUCAUGGCCAUGGGAGCCAUCGCUCUAUGCGUAACGAGGCCGCCCCUCCUCGUUAACCAAGGCAGAGGCAGAGGAGGAGGAGAAAAUGGCGUGGCAAUAAUCAUUAGAAUAUACAGGGCAGGGUUAUUCAUGGCAAAUGCGUCAGUUGAAGUUGGCCGCGAUUGAACAAUUCUGAUAAUGGCGGCACUGUGGUCUUAUUAAACAAAUGAAAGAAUGUAAAGUUCAUGAUAAAAGCAAUAUUACGACGUUAUUUUCAUUUAUUUAAUGAUGCCACCCUGCGCUAAUUCAUGAAAUCACCCAUUCACGGUCAAUUUCAGCAAGUGCGUUUGCGAUGAAUAACCCUAUAUUAGUUUUAAAAAUAUUAUAAAUAAUAAAUAUACAUACAUUUUAUCAAAA